This 774-nucleotide ribosomal RNA is filed under the name uncultured Neocallimastigales. Its description in RNAcentral is "partial large subunit ribosomal RNA". It matches the Rfam family "Eukaryotic large subunit ribosomal RNA", at positions 26 to 635 of the family's 3401-position model. The record is from RNAcentral. Lineage: Eukaryota; Fungi; Neocallimastigomycota; Neocallimastigomycetes; Neocallimastigales.
CGCAUCUGUGCAUGCAGCAUAUCAAUAAGCGGAGGAAAAGAAACUAACAAGGAUUCCCCUAGUAACGGCGAGUGAAGCGGGAAGAGCUCAAAUUUGAAAUCUUAAAGGGUUUCCCUUUACGAAUUGUAGUUUAAAGAAGUGUUUUCUGUUGAGGUUUUGGUAAAAGUUCUUUGGAAUAGGACAUCAUAGAGGGUGAGAAUCCCGUAUUUGACCUUUACUUUCAACUUUGUGAUACACUUUCAAAGAGUCGGAUUGUUUGGGAAUGCAGUCCAAAAUGGGUGGUAAAUUUCAUCUAAAGCUAAAUAUUGGCAAGAGACCGAUAGCGAACAAGUACCGUGAGGGAAAGAUGAAAAGAACUUUGAAAAGAGAGUUAAACAGUACGUGAAAUUGUCAAAAGGGAAGCGUUUGACACCAGUGUUGUUUUUCUGAAAAUCAAUUAAAGAACUGUUUAUGCUAAGUUGUUUAGACUUUAUCAGCUAUCUGCUUAGUUUUGAGCUUUUCUUUAAUGCACUUUUCAGUUAACAAGUCAACAUCAAUUUCUUUUGCUGUAAAAAAGCUUGAGGAAGGUGGCUUGAGAUUCGUCUUAAGUGUUUAUAGCCUCUUGCCUAUGCAGUCGGAGAGAUUGAGGUCUGCAGCGUAGAUCCUUCGGGGCUAAAUGCAUUUGUGCUAAGUUAUAGCAUUUUAUAGACAACUUGUUGACUAUGAUUUGUCUUGUAGCUUACUCGCUUAUGUUAUUUUACCUACGCUUAGGAUGUUGAAGAUGUAGCACAUCAU